This 253-nucleotide ribosomal RNA is filed under the name uncultured bacterium. RNAcentral describes it as "partial 16S ribosomal RNA". It matches the Rfam family "Bacterial small subunit ribosomal RNA", at positions 524 to 776 of the family's 1533-position model. The record is from RNAcentral.
UACGUAGGGUCCGAGCGUUGUCCGGAUUUACUGGGCGUAAAGAGCGCGCAGGCGGCUGGUCAAGUCCGAUGUGAAAGCUCCCGGCUUAACUGGGAAAUUGCAUCGGAAACUGAUCGGCUCGAAGGCAGGAGAGGGUAGUGGAAUUCCCGGUGUAGUGGUGAAAUGCGUAGAUAUCGGGAGGAACACCAGUGGCGAAGGCGACUACCUGGCCUGUUCUUGACGCUGAGGCGCGAAAGCUAGGGGAGCAAACGGG